Molecule: ribosomal RNA, 794 nt
Filed under: Bacillus subtilis
Lineage: Bacteria; Bacillati; Bacillota; Bacilli; Caryophanales; Bacillaceae
Description: bacterial SSU rRNA
Rfam family: Bacterial small subunit ribosomal RNA
Source: RNAcentral
GGGCUUCGCAGGCGGUUUUUUAAGUUCUGAAGGUUGAAAGCCCCCGGCUUCAACCGGGGAGGGUCAUUUGGAAACUGGGGAACUUUGAGUUGCAGAAGAGGAGAGUGGAAUUUCCACGUGUAGCGGUGAAAUUGCGUAGAGAUGUGGAGGAACACCAGUGGCGAAGGCGACUCUCUGGUCUGUAACUGACGCUGAGGAGCGAAAGCGUGGGGAGCGAACAGGAUUAGAUACCCUGGUAGUCCACGCCGUAAACGAUGAGUGCUAAGUGUUAGGGGGUUUCCGCCCCUUAGUGCUGCAGCUAACGCAUUAAGCACUCCGCCUGGGGAGUACGGUCGCAAGACUGAAACUCAAAGGAAUUGACGGGGGCCCGCACAAGCGGUGGAGCAUGUGGUUUAAUUCGAAGCAACGCGAAGAACCUUACCAGGUCUUGACAUCCUCUGACAAUCCUAGAGAUAGGACGUCCCCUUCGGGGGCAGAGUGACAGGUGGUGCAUGGUUGUCGUCAGCUCGUGUCGUGAGAUGUUGGGUUAAGUCCCGCAACGAGCGCAACCCUUGAUCUUAGUUGCCAGCAUUCAGUUGGGCACUCUAAGGUGACUGCCGGUGACAAACCGGAGGAAGGUGGGGAUGACGUCAAAUCAUCAUGCCCCUUAUGACCUGGGCUACACACGUGCUACAAUGGACAGAACAGAGGGCAGCGAAACCGCGAGGUUAAGCCAAUCCCACAAAUCUGUUCUCAGUUCGGAUCGCAGUCUGCAACUCGACUGCGUGAAGCUGGAAUCGCUAGUAAUCGCGGAU